UCGUUUACCGUGAAAAAAUUAGAGUGUUCAAAGCGGGCAGAUAUUUUUCCUGCCACCGAAUACAUUAGCAUGGGAUAAUGGAAUAGGACCCUGACCUCCUAUUUUCAGUUGGUUUUGUUUACAGCGAGGUUAUAUCAGGGUAAUGAUUAAUAGGGAUAGUUGGGGGCAUUAAUAUUUAAUUGUCAGAGGUGAAAUUCUUGGAUUUAUGAAAGAUUAACUUCUGCGAAAGCGUUUGCCAAGGAUGUUUUCAUUAAUCAAGAACGAAAGUUAGGGGAUCGAAGACGAUCAGAUACCGUCGUAGUCUUAACCAUAAACGAUGCCGACCAGCGAUUAGGAGACGUUGAAUACAAAACACCGCCGUUAAUCC
Molecule: ribosomal RNA, 367 nt
Filed under: Acanthamoeba lenticulata
Lineage: Eukaryota; Discosea; Longamoebia; Acanthamoebidae
Description: SSU rRNA
Rfam family: Eukaryotic small subunit ribosomal RNA
Source: RNAcentral